Molecule: ribosomal RNA, 254 nt
Filed under: uncultured bacterium
Lineage: Bacteria
Description: partial 16S ribosomal RNA
Rfam family: Bacterial small subunit ribosomal RNA
Source: RNAcentral
UACGGGGGGAGCAAGCGUUGUUCGGAUUUACUGGGCGUAAAGGGCGCGUAGGCGGUCGUGACAAGUCACUUGUGAAAUCUCCGGGCUUAACUCGGAACGGUCAAGUGAUACUGUCGGACUAGAGUACAGAAGGGGCAACUGGAAUUCUCGGUGUAGCGGUGAAAUGCGUAGAUAUCGAGAGGAACACCUGCGGCGAAGGCGGGUUGCUGGACCUCUGCUGACGCUGAGGCGCGAAAGCCAGGGGAGCAAACGGG